GUGCACAAACAGAAAAGACAGAGAGCUGAAAAGUUGCACAUUUCCAUUGCUCCUAGAAUGAGCAAAUCAGCUGUGCAUCAUCUCUGGGAUUUGGGCAGAAAAUGACUGAAUAUGGAAGAUGAAGCCA
Sinocyclocheilus grahami is the source of this 127-nucleotide long non-coding RNA. RefSeq lists it as uncharacterized. The transcript has 3 exons. The record is from RefSeq and is a predicted model, not a curated record. NCBI's taxonomy places the organism in Eukaryota, Metazoa, Chordata, Actinopteri, Cypriniformes, Cyprinidae.